RNAcentral lists this ribosomal RNA (646 nucleotides) under Salmonella enterica. RNAcentral describes it as "partial 23S ribosomal RNA". It matches the Rfam family "Bacterial large subunit ribosomal RNA", at positions 1406 to 1937 of the family's 2925-position model. Lineage: Bacteria; Pseudomonadati; Pseudomonadota; Gammaproteobacteria; Enterobacterales; Enterobacteriaceae. The record is from RNAcentral.
CAGGCGUAGUCGAUGGACAUCCGGUUGAUAUUCCGGAACCGGCGAAGAACCGCCCAUGACGAACCUAGUGAUGCUAAACGCCCAAAGCUGUUGUCCAAGACCUUCGGGUUGAGGGUUUCAGUGGAGCGCGUGACCCGAUCUAGUAGUAGUCAAGCGAUGGAGAGACGCAGGAAGGUAGCCUCCGCGUGGCGAUGGUAGUCCACGUCCAAGGGUGUAGGGCGAGCUGUAGGCAAAUCCGCAGCUCACAUAGCCUGAGACCUGAUAGUGACCGCGUAUGCGGGAAGCAGGGUGAUCCUAUGCUGCCAAGAAAAUCUUCUAGCGAGGUUCGAGCCGCCCGUACCCCAAACCGACUCAGGUGGUUAGGUAGAGAAUACCAAGGCGAUCGAGUGAAUCGUGGUUAAGGAAUUCGGCAAAAUACCCCCGUAACUUCGGGAGAAGGGGGGCCCAGAGGGUGAAGGCACUUGCUGCCUAGCCUGAACGGCCGCAGAGACCAGGGAGAAGCGACUGUUUACUAAAAACACAGGUCCGUGCGAAGUCGCAAGACGAUGUAUACGGACUGACGCCUGCCCGGUGCUGGAAGGUUAAGAGGACCGGUUAGUUCUUCGGAGCGAAGCUGAGAAUUUAAGCCCCAGUAAACGGCGGUGGU